UACGGAGGAUGCGAGCGUUAUCCGGAUUUAUUGGGUUUAAAGGGUGCGUAGGCGGAUCAAUAAGUCAGUGGUGAAAUUCUGCAGCUUAACUGUAGACUUGCCAUUGAUACUGUUGGUCUUGAGUAUGGUCAAGGUAGGCGGAAUGUGUAAUGUAGCGGUGAAAUGCUUAGAUAUUACACAGAACACCGAUUGCGAAGGCAGCUUGCUGGGCCAAUACUGACGCUGAUGCACGAAAGCGUGGGGAUCGAACAGG
Molecule: ribosomal RNA, 253 nt
Filed under: uncultured bacterium
Lineage: Bacteria
Description: partial 16S ribosomal RNA
Rfam family: Bacterial small subunit ribosomal RNA
Source: RNAcentral